Molecule: non-coding RNA, 1590 nt
Organism: Drosophila melanogaster (fruit fly)
Lineage: Eukaryota; Metazoa; Arthropoda; Insecta; Diptera; Drosophilidae
Source: Ensembl
ACACCGAUAUUGUUAUAGUUUUUGGUCCUGACCUGGGGCUUCUCUGCGGGAUUUGCAACAGGAGAUUGGAGAGCAGAGCUACCAGUUUGCUUUAAUGUGGUUAAAUUGAAGCUUAAAGUUGAUUUGCCAUUAGGAAUUUACAUGCAACUAUAAUCAUCCUUCAUGCCAGAUUGUAACUAAAGUUAUACUUUCUCAACUCUAGUCUAUGAUGCUUUUUUGUAACUGUCCGUGUAAAAUAUUUGGUAUUUCGUUGGAAUUUGAAGUAGACUCUUUCAAUUCCAUUAGUUUUUUUUUUUUAAUAAUUAUCCGUCAGCACUGUUCAGAGCAUUUAGCGGCGUAAUAGGCUCAAAUUCCUGCCAGUCCACACGGAAACCGCAAAUUUAACUAGCAAUUCAGCGGCAGCAAGGACUGGAAUUCUUGCCAGGGCCCUUAAAAAUAGGCCCUGUGUUAUUGCCCAACUAUUGGCAUGACCAGUCAUAUCAUAAAUUCAUUACCCACAAGGCAACUGGGCACGCCCCCUGAUAACCACACGUCCCCAGCCGCAGUAAUGAGCUUUCACAUUUCAGCAGUGGGCAAUGGAGCUCAUCAUCGCCAGCCAGCCAGCCAGCAGCAACCUGCCAUUUGCCACGCCCCCAUUAGCGGGAAUGACUAUUGAAAACCGGUUGACCAAAAAUGACGCGCAAAUGUUGGCAACAUUAAAUUAAAGCGCCAGCAAACUGGCUCAAACCGCACGCGAAAAUUUAUGCAUAUAAAUCAGGCAACGUGGCGCGUUGUUCGCUGAUUGACGUGUGCCCGUCGUUCGUCAGGCCCGGCAAACUACUGCUAAUUUGUCGGAGGGUCCUGCGAACUGCCAGCACACCCCUCCCCCCCCCUCAAAGGAGGACUUCAAAAAAAUAGAAGGAAAAAUGUUCGAAACAACCAAAACAAGGCAAACGCGGCCAAGCCAAACCAAAGCAAACAAAAACAGCAGCUGGAGCAACUGAGCGGCGAAAUGUGCCGAAAUUCCAUCAAAGCGACGUUUUACGGAUAAAACAUUUGCAUAUUUUGAUUGGACACGCCCAGUUGUGUGUGCACAGUGGGCGAGCAAACAAUGGCGACGCUUCUGGGACGCUCCUGGGUCGGAACGGGACGGGACGGGACGGGUCGGGUCGCUGUGGCAUGCAGCUAACAAACUGCGACGUGCGCUAGGCUCAGACAGCAGCAACACGCAGCAGCAGCAGCAGCAACAACACAAUGGCGGCAACUAUGACUGCGAUAAGGGAAUCGGUAUAUGGCAGUCAGGAAUCGGUGAACGGGCGUAGGGAGCUCGGAGGGAGUCGCAACUCCCGACUGGACACGCCCCCUGGGGUGGCAAGGAGGGGCGGUUCUGACUGGUCUAUCAUGCGGCUGACGUGACGUGACGCGGCAGCGAUUUUUACACUUUGCACUUUUUUCACAUUCCGAUACCCAAGGAAUUUUAAAAUGUGAGGGGUAGAUAAGUUUAGCAAUUAAGCUUAACCAUAAUAAUCCUUUUAUAGACAAUAGACAACUAAUCGGGCCAUAGUGCAUGUUAAUUUUAUAACUAAAUUUUAAACUCUGGCCAUAUUUUAG